UUCUGGCUCAGGAUGAACGCUAGCUACAGGCUUAACACAUGCAAGUCGAGGGGCAGCAUGAUCAAAGCUUGCUUUGAUUGAUGGCGACCGGCGCACGGGUGAGUAACGCGUAUCCAACCUUCCCUAUAGUAGUGGAUAGCCCGGCGAAAGUCGGAUUAAUACACUAUGUUGUAUUUUAGAGGACAUCUGAAGAAUACCAAAGGCUUGCCGCUAUAGGAUGGGGAUGCGUCUGAUUAGAUAGUAGGCGGGGUAACGGCCCACCUAGUCGACGAUCAGUAGGGGUUCUGAGAGGAAGGUCCCCCACAUUGGAACUGAGACACGGUCCAAACUCCUACGGGAGGCAGCAGUGAGGAAUAUUGGUCAAUGGACGGGAGUCUGAACCAGCCAAGUAGCCGUGCAGGAUGACGGCCCUAUGGGUUGUAAACUGCUUUUAUACGGGGAUAAAGUGAGCCACGUGUGGCUUUUUGUAGGUACCGUAUGAAUAAGGACCGGCUAAUUCCGUGCCAGCCGCCGC
RNAcentral lists this ribosomal RNA (514 nucleotides) under uncultured bacterium. Its description in RNAcentral is "bacterial SSU rRNA". It matches the Rfam family "Bacterial small subunit ribosomal RNA", at positions 17 to 518 of the family's 1533-position model. The record is from RNAcentral.